Molecule: ribosomal RNA, 750 nt
Filed under: uncultured Acidobacteriota bacterium
Lineage: Bacteria; Pseudomonadati; Acidobacteriota
Description: bacterial SSU rRNA
Rfam family: Bacterial small subunit ribosomal RNA
Source: RNAcentral
GUCGAACGAGAAAGUGGUAGCAAUACCAUGAGUAAAGUGGCGCACGGGUGAGUAACACGUGACUAACCUACCCUGGAGUGGGGGAUAACUGAGGGAAACCUUAGCUAAUACCGCAUAAUACCCACGGGUCAAAGGAGCAAUUCGCUCCAGGAGGGGGUCGCGGCCGAUUAGUUAGUUGGCGGGGUAACGGCCCACCAAGACGAUGAUCGGUAUCCGGCCUGAGAGGGCGCACGGACACACUGGAACUGAAACACGGUCCAGACUCCUACGGGAGGCAGCAGUGGGGAAUUUUGCGCAAUGGGGGAAACCCUGACGCAGCAACGCCGCGUGGAGGAUGAAGUCCUUCGGGACGUAAACUCCUUUCGAUCGGGACGAUAAUGACGGUACCGGAAGAAGAAGCCCCGGCUAACUUCGUGCCAGCAGCCGCGGUAAUACGAGGGGGGCGAGCGUUGUUCGGAAUUAUUGGGCGUAAAGGGUGCGUAGGCGGUUUGGUAAGUCUUAUGUGAAAUCUAUGGGCUCAACUCAUAGACUGCAUGAGAAACUGCCGGGCUCGAGUAUGGGAGAGGUGAGUGGAAUUUCCGGUGUAGCGGUGAAAUGCGUAGAUAUCGGAAGGAACACCUGUGGCGAAAGCGGCUCACUGGACCAUAACUGACGCUGAUGCACGAAAGCUAGGGGAGCAAACAGGAUUAGAUACCCUGGUAGUCCUAGCCCUAAACCAUGACUGCUUGGUGUGACGGGUACCCAAUCCCG